RNAcentral lists this small RNA (525 nucleotides) under Pan troglodytes (chimpanzee). RNAcentral's name for it is "retained intron". The record is from RNAcentral. Lineage: Eukaryota; Metazoa; Chordata; Mammalia; Primates; Hominidae.
GUGGUACCCGGUCCUCAGGUGCAACCCCCUGCGUGGUCCUCUGUGGCAGCCUUCUCUCAUUCAGAGCUGGGUUGCAGCAGCUCAGACAAUCCUUACCAUGUGAAAGGAGGAAUGACUGUCAUGGCAUGAAAAAAGCAUCACUAUGAAAAAGAAAACUCGGUAGAAGAUAAUGGCAAGUCCAGACUGGGGAUAUGAUGACAAAAAUGGUCCUGAACAAUGGAGCAAGCUGUAUCCCAUUGCCAAUGGAAAUAACCAGUCCCCUGUUGAUAUUAAAACCAGUGAAACCAAACAUGACACCUCUCUGAAACCUAUUAGUGUCUCCUACAACCCAGCCACAGCCAAAGAAAUUAUCAAUGUGGGACAUUCCUUCCAUGUAAAUUUUGAGGACAACGAUAACCGAUCAGCAUUGCUGUAAUCUAGUGAGGCAUCUUGGACUUCUGGAAAACGUCCAGGUGGUAAAGACAAUUUUUUGAACUCCCAGCUCUCUAUUUUCAGUCUUGCUUCUCAAAGUCACCAUCACGUCUC